GUGUAGCUCAGUGGUAGAGUAUGUGGUUAGUAUGCAUAAGGCCCUGGGUUCCAUCUCCAGCAC
Molecule: transfer RNA, 63 nt
Filed under: Heterocephalus glaber (naked mole-rat)
Lineage: Eukaryota; Metazoa; Chordata; Mammalia; Rodentia; Bathyergidae
Rfam family: tRNA
About the family: Transfer RNA (tRNA) molecules are approximately 80 nucleotides in length. Their secondary structure includes four short double-helical elements and three loops (D, anti-codon, and T loops).
Source: Rfam by way of RNAcentral